This 464-nucleotide ribosomal RNA is filed under the name uncultured bacterium. RNAcentral's name for it is "bacterial SSU rRNA". It matches the Rfam family "Bacterial small subunit ribosomal RNA", at positions 331 to 792 of the family's 1533-position model. The record is from RNAcentral.
CCAGACUCCUACGGGAGGCAGCAGUGAGGAAUAUUGGUCAAUGGGCGGGAGCCUGAACCAGCCAAGUCGCGUGAGGGACGACGGUCCUAUGGAUUGUAAACCUCUUUUGUCGGGGAACAAAGGCGCCCACGGGUGGGCGGAUGAGUGUACCCGAAGAAAAAGCAUCGGCUAACUCCGUGCCAGCAGCCGCGGUAAUACGUAGGGGGCAAGCGUUAUCCGGAUUUACUGGGUGUAAAGGGAGCGUAGACGGCGAUACAAGUCUGAAGUGAAAGCCCGGGGCUCAACCCCGGGACUGCUUUGGAAACUGUGUUGCUGGAGUGCUGGAGAGGCAAGCGGAAUUCCUAGUGUAGCGGUGAAAUGCGUAGAUAUUAGGAAGAACACCAGUGGCGAAGGCGGCUUGCUGGACAGUAACUGACGUUGAGGCUCGAAAGCGUGGGGAGCAAACAGGAUUAGAUACCCCCGUA